UGCCAGUAUAAUAUGCUUGUUUCAAAGAUUAAGCCAUGCAAGUGUUAGAACCUCAUCGCAUCUGGUUUACUGGGUGUUGAUUUGGGAAUCUGUGGAUUGCUCAUUAUAAGAGUUAUAUACUCAGCCACUGGUAGUUGUGACGUAAGAAGCAUACAUGGAUAAUGCAGCUAACUGCCGCAAUAAUACAUGAAUUAAAAAGGGAAUCGCCGAUUCUAAGUGGUAAUAAGCGUCGAAUCGCUUUUAUCAGAGCAAUAUUGCUGGCAGCGCAAGUUGUCAGUGAAUUGUGAUUGACCGACUUAAACAAAUAUGGGUUUGAUAAACGGCUUUUAAUAGGGUUGUUGAGUUGAAUUCAGAAAGUUGGCCCAGAGGAAGUGUUUCUUACCUAUCAGUUAGUAGUUUCAGUAAGGGUCAAACUUGACUUUUACGGGUACGGGGAAUUAGUGUUCAAAUCCGGAGAGGGAGCCUGAGAAAUAGCUACCACAUCUAAGGACGGCAGCAGGCACGAAAAUUAUCCACUGCUAAUUCAGCGAGAUAGUGACGAGAAAUAACGACCUUCAAACGAAGGGUACCAGUAAAAUGGUUUGGAAUGGCGGUAGAUCAAAAUUCUAUCAGAGUAACAAUUAGAGGAUUAGUCUGGUGCCAGCACCCGCGGUAAUUCCAGCUCUAAUAGUGUAUUUUAAAGUUGUUGCAGUUAAAACGCUCGUAGUCUAUCUAAAAGUUUACGCACUGAUUAUCAACUGUGAUCAAAUCAGAGAGAUUCAAUCAGGCAAUGAUGUUUGCAAAAACUUGCCCGAAUGGUUCAGCAUAGCACUGAAAUCAAGUCCCUUUUGGGACGAAACGAAUGGAAGAUAGGGAAAGGGAACAAGUAUUGUCUCGCUAGAGGUGAAAUUCAGAGAACGUGCCAAGACUAGCAGACGCGAAAGCGGUGUCCCGUCACAUCUUCGUCGAUCAGGAACGAAAGUUGGGGGAGCGAAAAUGAUUAGAUACCGUUGUAGUCCCAACUGUAAACUAUAUUGACAAGGGAUUGGC
RNAcentral lists this ribosomal RNA (1029 nucleotides) under uncultured soil eukaryote. RNAcentral's name for it is "SSU rRNA". It matches the Rfam family "Eukaryotic small subunit ribosomal RNA", at positions 15 to 1057 of the family's 1831-position model. The record is from RNAcentral.